RNAcentral lists this transfer RNA (70 nucleotides) under Neopipo cinnamomea. RNAcentral describes it as "tRNA-Lys". The record is from RNAcentral. Lineage: Eukaryota; Metazoa; Chordata; Aves; Passeriformes; Tyrannidae.
CGCCAAGAAGCUAUGUACCAGCACUAGCCUUUUAAGCUAGAGAAAGAGGAACACUUAUCCUCCUUAGCGA